This 245-nucleotide ribosomal RNA is filed under the name uncultured Lysobacter sp. Its description in RNAcentral is "partial 16S ribosomal RNA". It matches the Rfam family "Bacterial small subunit ribosomal RNA", at positions 524 to 768 of the family's 1533-position model. The record is from RNAcentral. Lineage: Bacteria; Pseudomonadati; Pseudomonadota; Gammaproteobacteria; Lysobacterales; Lysobacteraceae.
UACGAAGGGUGCAAGCGUUACUCGGAAUUACUGGGCGUAAAGCGUGCGUAGGUGGUGGUUUAAGUCAGAUGUGAAAGCCCUGGGCUCAACCUGGGAACUGCAUUUGAUACUGGAUCACUAGAGUGCGGUAGAGGAUAGUGGAAUUCCCGGUGUAGCAGUGAAAUGCGUAGAGAUCGGGAGGAACACCAGUGGCGAAGGCGACUAUCUGGACCAGCACUGACACUGGGGCACGAAAGCGUGGGGAG